GACAGAGGUUGCGAGCGUUGUUCGGAAUUACUGGGCUUAAAGGGCGAGUAGGCGUCCCGGUAAGUCGGAUGUGGAAUCUUUUUGCUUAACGAAAAAAUUGCAUCUGAAACUAUCGGGAUUGAGUCAGUGAGGGGAGGGCGGAAUUCCUGGUGUAGCGGUGAAAUGCGUAGAUAUCAGGAGGAAGGCCUGUGGCGAAGGCGGCCCUCUGGCACGGUACUGACGCUGAGGCGCGAAAGCGUGGGGAGCAAACAGG
RNAcentral lists this ribosomal RNA (253 nucleotides) under uncultured bacterium. RNAcentral's name for it is "partial 16S ribosomal RNA". It matches the Rfam family "Bacterial small subunit ribosomal RNA", at positions 524 to 776 of the family's 1533-position model. The record is from RNAcentral.